Tupaia belangeri (northern tree shrew) is the source of this 116-nucleotide ribosomal RNA. Lineage: Eukaryota; Metazoa; Chordata; Mammalia; Scandentia; Tupaiidae. The record is from Ensembl.
UACAGCCAUAAUACCCUAAACAUGCCCAAUCUUGUCUGAUCUUGGAAGUUAAGCAUAGUUGGGCCUGGUUACUAGUUUGAUGGGAGAUUGCUUGGGAAUAUCAGGUGUUGCUGGCA